AUGCUAAAUUAUUCAGAGCAAAUAGUGAUGGUGCUCGCUUGUCUAAUCGGAAACAAGUGUCUACAGUUCAAAGUUUUUUCAUUGCAAAACAGUUAUGUGCUGCUGUUGUGCUCUAUUUGUAGAGUAAGAAAGAUGAUCUGCUUUCAGCAGGCACAGUGGGGUGGUGGCUUGCAGCUUUUAUGGAGGAAAACCGUCAAUCAAAAAACAGCUGGUGGCUGCUGCGCUGGGACUCACUUAUGUGGGACACUUAGUGAGGGAGACGCUUCUAGAGACCUUGCUAAGAAAGCUUGCUCUGCCACGUAG
RNAcentral lists this ribosomal RNA (303 nucleotides) under Triticum aestivum (bread wheat). RNAcentral describes it as "partial small subunit ribosomal RNA". Lineage: Eukaryota; Viridiplantae; Streptophyta; Magnoliopsida; Poales; Poaceae. The record is from RNAcentral.